AGAAUACAAAAUUUCCCCACAUUUCUAGUUUGAAUGAAUACAUCUUAGCAAACAUAUCCAUAUAUCUAAAAAAGUUAUGAAAUGUCUCAGGUAAGCCACACCAGUGGCCAUUAUGGUCUUUGGCACACACACAAAAGAAUACCCUACUAAAUGAGGUCAAACUCAAAACUAGCAUCUAAAAGACCUUCACCCUGAAUGUAUAAGACAGCAAUGCUACAAAGUUUCAUUAUCUACAGGACUAACAGAGUAUUCAAACAUUUGUUUUUAGAAUUAGGAGCUGCACUAAGCAGAAA
RNAcentral lists this unclassified non-coding RNA (293 nucleotides) under Hevea brasiliensis (rubber tree). Lineage: Eukaryota; Viridiplantae; Streptophyta; Magnoliopsida; Malpighiales; Euphorbiaceae. The record is from RNAcentral.